GUCUACCAGAAUCUGAUGGCAAAAAAAAGGGAAAAAAAAUAGCGAUUUUCAUAUGGCAACAAAAAAAAUAGCAUCUGUCAAAACUGAAAUUUCGAGGAAUUGUUUUUAGUUUGGCUUCAAAUUUCCUAUAAAGAGUGGUUUAAAUGUUGAAGAAACCUCUUCGAUCGCAAGCAAGAAAUAUUGUUUUCAAUGUUUAUCAAAGACUACUUGAUGAACAAGGUGCAGAACAAACACAAUCAUCGACAUUGAGCCAUGUGCAAGCGUUGACUGGUGUUUCGAAUACUACCAUAAGACGAAUUGUUGCUGAAGGCAGAUCUAACAGAAGCGUAUUUAUUACGCCCGGUAAAAAGAAGAAAGGUGGCAAAAAUACUGCGCUUCCUCUUCUGAUGAAGACUUUUUUAUGGAUGUGCUGUAUUUGGGUCCAUUUUCAAGUUCUGAUUAGGGAUGUAAACCGGUUCGAAGAAAACCGGAGAAAAAACGGUUUUUAUACAUACCGAUAAAACCGGUUUUUAUUUAAGAAUACCGGUUUUUAAUUACGCGUUACAUUCACAGUUUACACCAGUGCUACCAGAUCAAAUAUACAAGCUACCUCAAUCAAAUAUACAAAAAACCGUGUUUCAGACUCAAAUUACCGUGCAUUGCAUUUAAAAACUACAGUGCAAUAACCACAAUAUGGUUGGUAGACUUUUAGCGUACGAAAUGACGACCGUGACCCAAAUAUUCACAUAUCUGCACCCAACACUCAGAAAUGGCUUUCGCCAACCAAAGCACAUUUUGUUUUCAAAAGAGAUGGUGCGUCGUGAACUGGGGAAUCUUCUUAAAGAAUUUUCAAUUCUCGCUUUAUCAUCGGAACAGCCAAAAGAAACCACAAACAAUUUUUAAAAACCUGGUUGUUAUUCUGGAUUUUUUGCGUUCCUGAAAACGGGAUAUUCCGAACGCCACGGCGGCCGCAGUGAAUAUAGUGCGAAUGUAUAUUGAGGCUGAAGCCGCCACAGGAAACCACACCGAAAUUGCUGGCACUUUUUGGAUGAGCAAUACUCAUUUGAGGCCUUUGCACAAAAUAGUAAUUAAAUACCUAUCAGUCCCACCAACUUCUGUGCCUUCCGAACGUAUGUUUUCGACGUCGGGGUACGUGCUAAUAUCCAGAAGGAGCAGGCUUCUGGGUGACGCAGUGGACCAACUAUGCUUCUUGCAUCAAAAUUUUGAUUGAAUACAAUAGUAUUAAAUAAAAAACAAAAA
Molecule: long non-coding RNA, 1239 nt
Organism: Bombyx mori (domestic silkworm)
Lineage: Eukaryota; Metazoa; Arthropoda; Insecta; Lepidoptera; Bombycidae
Exons: 2
Source: RefSeq, a predicted model, not a curated record